This 1172-nucleotide long non-coding RNA is filed under the name Homo sapiens (human). RNAcentral's name for it is "HSALNT0084393". Lineage: Eukaryota; Metazoa; Chordata; Mammalia; Primates; Hominidae. The record is from RNAcentral.
ACUGCAUCCAGCAGCAAAGUUUUAGCCUUCUCCGAUUAGGAGUCAAAAACAAAAGACAAAGUCUGGUGCCUAAUACCGUCUUUAUGGAACUCUGUACUCUAGGAUGACUAGCCUAAUGGGCUAGUUAUUGGGUAUCUAAAAUUGCCAGAUUCCCAUACGUUUUGUAGCAUCAGCAAUUUAAUAAACUUCUCUGCUUCCUGAUCCCAGUAACUAGGAGUCAAUGCUAACCAUGGAUAUGAAAAGAGGAGGGUUGACAUGCAGAACCAAGGGACUAGAAAGCUCAUCUGCCCUCAUCAGAACCAUGUGACCCAUGGUUCACUGGUUCACUGACCCAACACAGGCAAAACUGCCUGACCAAGGAGAAAGAAUGCUGUCUGGAAUUAAAGAAAGCAUGGUACAAGUUCUGUAGCUGUGAGUGACAGCAACUGGAAUAUCAACUGGACCUGCUUCUGGUGGCAGCGAGGACCAUCCUUGAUAAACCUGGCCACUCUCAAAAUUUGCAAGAAUGCUAGCACUAUUCUAAGAUUGUGAGAAAUCCAGUAGAAAUCUCACUGGACCACAGAUUCUCCUCCUGAGAAGAAGCCAUGGAUUUCACAGCCAGGAGAUGUGGGGCUCAGACGGGAUGAGUAUGUUCCUCUACGUCCUGGUUGCUGGAGUGCACCUUAGGACUUCAGCUUAGAGUGCAAUCUACACUGUCAGCUCUCUGGCUCUCCAGCCUUCAGACUACACCACCGGCUUUCCUGGGUGUCCAGCUCGCAGACAGCAGAUGCAUAGCUCCCUGUGACUGACACAUUCCUCAGAGUAUGCUGUGAUCUGAGGGAGAUACAUUCAGAAGAAGGACUCCCAGGCAGGUGGAUAGGAAUGACCCGAAUGUUAAAAUUUAGAUCGUCUCUCCGCAUCCCUUCCAAGAGCUGGCAAUGAGCCUACAGUGUAAUUCAGGUAUAUACUUUCUAUUUUAAGACUUCGGUCAGCCCUUAAUGAUAAUUCUUCAAUAAAUGUUGUGGUUUAUAUUGGAAUUACAGAAAGCUCCUUGAUAAGCCUUUUGCUACAGGCCUAAGUUCACGUGUAGGUGCCAAAUUUAGAAAAGACAAUACAGGAUGCAUGUUGCAUAGGACAUACUUUUAGCAAAAAAAAAAAUUGUUGUUUAUCUGAAAUUCUGAUUUAACUGAAAA